UCUUCUUCUUCACCUUCUUUUCAGUUCCAUAAUAAUGUCAACUUAGUUGCUACAAAAAAAAUCAUACGAAAUUUUACGCUGUUGCUAUGUAUGAAUUGAAAAAACAGGGCUAAAAUUAUGCAAAAAAAAAUCAUAAAAUUGAAUAUUUAAGCUUCAGUUCUUGUUAGUAAUAAGGUGAAUCUUUCAAUUUCCUGUAACUAGGGUUUGUUCUGGCUUUCUAUCCAAGUCCAAGUAGCAACAGUGACUAUUUCAUGGCAGGCAAUGGCCUGCCAUCUUUAGGUCGUGUAAAGCUUACUGAUCUUAUUCCUUGUGAAGGCUUACCUUCUGAUUCUUACAAAUUAUCAGUCUCCACUUUGUCCCAGUCACUUGCUCAAUAUUCGGCUGCCAUUGUUCAGUUCUCCGGUAUUGAUGGCGCUCUUUUAAGAUCUUGUUUGGAUUCCGCUCGCCUUUAUUUUCAUCAAAAACCGUCGUCAUCAUACGCGUCUCCGGAUAUAAUUAAUGACUCUCGCGAGUGGUGUAAAACGUCUGGCUAUUACGCCGAUCCUCAGUUUUGGCAUGAGAUUUAUGAUUAUAGACCGGGGUUAAGUCCUAGUGAGGUCAAUAAUGCUAUGAGUUUGGAGUUUCCGCCUGCUGGUUUGCCGGAUAUUUUCCAGUUGCUUGGGAAAGCUGCUAGGGAUAUACUUGAUGCUAUUAGUUUCUAUUUGAAUCUGCGUAGUUCGCCUUUUAGUGAGAUUCUUGAUAAUGUUCCGUUGAGGAAUCGUGAAAUAUCGUCUUCUGUGUUGUCGAUUUGUUGUCAUGGUAGACCAUCGUUUCAGAUUCAGGGUGCUCAACAUCAUAGUUUAAACGCUCAAGAGGAUGGUCAGCUUGUUAAUGUUAUGUAUCCUGAUCAUGAGAAUCAAGUUGAUAAGAGCCUUAUAUCUCUUGUUAAGUCGGAUAGUGUUGGUUUACAUGUUCGAGAUUUUCAUGGUCGGUGGGUUCUUUUGGACGGAGAUCUCGGUCCUCAAGAUGUUGUUGUUUACCCCGGACUUGCUCUCUACCAGGCAACUGCUGGCUACAUCAACCCCGCUUUGCAUAGAACAGAGAUUAGUAAUAACUUGCAAGGGAAUAUGUAUGGGCGAUGUUCAUUGGCUUUUAAACUCAUGCCUAAGUCUAUGACCAGUCUCAGUUGUUCCGAGAUGAGAGCAGCUGGUCACGGUGUUGAAGCCCAGUUCCAGUUACCAGUGCCUGUGGAUGACUUCAUGCAGAGAUCUCAUUUACCUGAUCAGCUCUUUAACAGACAGUCUCUACAGAGUUUCAGUUUCCCAAUGUCCCAAGAUGGAUCUGUGAAGCCCAUGACGAGGAGGAGGAAGAACAAUUCAAGAUGCAAACCUUUGCCGCCUUCAAAGAGGCUAAGACUCGAGGCCCAGAGAGUUCUCAAGGAAAGAGUACAGGAUAUUGCUGAUAAGAAGGGUAUCAAGCUAAGGUUUUGCACCCCAAAGGAGUGUGAGAAUAAUCACAUUCAUUCAUUAGAUAGUCCGUGUGCCAAUAUUAGAAUGGAGAUCGGGUGGCCUCCUGGGGUGCCAUUUGUUCAUCCCCAUGAUUUGCCUAACAAAGCGAAGAUCGGUUUCCUUGAAGCAUAUGAACCGGGAUGGACAGCAACUCAUGGUACGGAGUUGAAUCUGACCGAACCUGGACAAGGCAGUCAACACUCAGCCAACUGUAAUAACUUACCUCUUUAUGCUCAAGACUUAUAACACAUACACAUGAAUGCAUUCGCAUGCUGAAACAAAAACAUUAGACAUAAAAAUCGUUGCCUGAAAUCUCCCAAGGAAUUGAUUUCUACAUUUUCCAGUAUGGGAAAUCCCCAAUCAGCUCCUGAGUUGUUUUUUUUGACAGAAUUGAUCUCCAUGUUUUACCAUCUGCUGUGGGUUGACCAGCUGGUGGUUGCAGUACUGAAAUCAUAGUUGUACUAAUGUGUACUUCAUCUCUUAUCAAUCCUUUUCUAUGUAUUUUGACUGCUCAUCUCAUGCAGGUUUGAUGCAAUUCUGUUUCAGUUCUAAAUUAAUAUGGGGAAAGUGGCAGUUUGAAAAUUGUACAAAAAUCUGUAGUCACUUAACUUCCAAAAUCUAAUUGAUUAGAUGCCACUUUUAGUGAGCACUGUUGUUUCUUUUGUAUCUAUAAGAAUUGUAUGCUUAACCUUGGCAGGCUUGAAUGGUAACAAACGAGUUAAAAUUGAUGAUCUAUUCGUUAUUUCUGUUA
Mercurialis annua (annual mercury) is the source of this 2238-nucleotide RNA transcript. RefSeq lists it as uncharacterized. The record is from RefSeq and is a predicted model, not a curated record. Lineage: Eukaryota; Viridiplantae; Streptophyta; Magnoliopsida; Malpighiales; Euphorbiaceae. The transcript has 3 exons.